Molecule: non-coding RNA, 252 nt
Organism: Paramuricea clavata
Lineage: Eukaryota; Metazoa; Cnidaria; Anthozoa; Malacalcyonacea; Plexauridae
Source: the annotation of a GenBank genome assembly
CGAUCACAGUUUAAUGAUAUUCAGUUGUGUAACUCGCGGAAUUUCCUGUCCCCCAUGGUUAAUGCGCAUGCGCGAAGCAAAAGACCGUGUCAUGUGUUUUUUUUGUCUGAAAGCAUAUAGGAAAAUAAAAAAUUUGGACACUAAAACUACGAUUUUAAAGAAUAUAUCCAUCAGGAAUGCUGGACUUACACAAAUUUUACAGGAAGGGAUGUCAUUCUAAAUUUUCCACAAGAAAAUGCCUUUAAGAAUCGG